UGUUUGAGCUUUGGAGGUCCUUUAAAAUGUAAGAUGCAGCAACGAUUGUUGUAUCCGAAGCGGCCGCUCUCUCAGUUGCCGAUGGAAACCGACGACGACAUUCUCGGUCCCAUGGACGCAGAAAACGAAUCCCUAGACGAGAGCCAGAGGACCAAGAAGGAGAAGGAGAAGAAGAAGAAGAAGAAGAAGAGGAAGAGACUGGACGUGACGAUGCAGGUCGUCCGCGAACACCCGGACAAGAUCGCCCCUCUCGUCGGGUACUUCCCUUCUGGGUUCGACCCGAGCGGGAAAGGAGGCGAUGGAGAUCAGUGCGAGCCGCCACCUCGGGUUAGGGUUUUCAGGAACACUCGCAAGACUGGUAGGUUACAGUUGGUCGUGAGCCCCGACGAUUCUAAAGUGGAGUUCGUGGGCACCAACUACUCAGGCGAAGCUGCUAGUGCGCAGCUAUGUACUUAUGCUCUUGGGGUGCUCGAUAAGGACGCAGGGACACUGAAGAUUGUUCCAAUUGCAUCGAAUAAGAUAUUUAGAUUGGAACCAAGUGUUAGUGGAUCAUAUUUUCCUAGCGAGGAGCCACCUACUGUGGUUAAUGAACUUACUGCAGAACAGAGGGCAGACAAAAUAAAUAGGCUUACUAGCACUUAUGGAACAAAUAAGUCGAUAAGCAAGGCUAAGAAAAUGCUCUCUCUUAAUCAAAAUGAGGGUUCUAGUGCUCCAAUGGAUUCCGACAGGAAACUGGAAGGAGUUGUUAUAAACAAGGAGGCUCUGGAAAGUGUUGAAACUAUUGCUUCUCGUAAUAUUCCACCAUAUGAUGUCACAGCCACUACAGCUGAGAUGGCCUAUCCACUGGGCAAGAUUAUUCAGAAAGCUGAGUGGGAUUACCUUCUGGAUAUUCUUGAGCUCUUGCAAGCAGGAGCAGAAGCAGAAGUAUCUCCUACUGCCUACCCAAGUUUCGUUUGCAACAGAAUUUAUAAAUUGAAGGAUAUUGAGGAUGAGGAAAAGAAGACGACGCUUGCUUGCAUAUUGUCAUAUAUAACCCAUCUUAUAAAAUUCAAGGAUCAGCAUUCCAUGGAUGGUGCCUCAUCUGCAAAAGAUCAUAAAAUACCAGCAAUCUUAGUUAAGAAGUUUUCAUCUAUGUUUGCCGAUCCAGCAUUGAAAAAACAGCUUUCAGAGGCAAAUAAUGGUCUCCUCAUCAGCUAUGUCCUGGUGCUUACCCUCUUUGCUGAUGAUUUUCGGACUGACCCAUUAGAUAUAGCGAAGGAUCUGAGAAUGCCUGCUAUUAAAAUGAGACCACAUUAUGAGCAUUUGGGUUGCAAACUUGUCCGUCAAAACAACGUGACAUAUGCUACCCUUCCUGUUCCUCUUCAAUUUCCAAAGCCACGGCGGCGGCGAAGGUAGAUGCACAAGUUGUUUUAGUUCUUGCUCUUGCAAUUUGUUGACAAGACACAAGGGCAAUUUUGUUAGCCUUAUGCCAGAGUCUCUGAGGGGUGCCGUUGGAAAUUAUUUUCAUUGAGUAUUUUCUAUUUCUCUGCAACAUAUGUAUUUUUCUUGUGGUUGGAAAAUUCGAUUGGCACUUGAGCUAUAUAAACUCCUCUCCCCAGCUAUUUUACUCCUGCUGAUUUGGAAUUAGCAAAUAAAAAUAUAUUUGGUGAUUGAGAAGCUUUUGUUGGAUAGCAAUUUCAGUCUUAUGAUGCUGCCUAUGUUGGGUUGAAGGAGAGCUUAGAACUUGCAUUUUGACCGAGGAACCUAUAGUGUAAGCAAUAAGAUCGAAGGUCUGUUUACUGUGUUUCAGCCCUAGAGGAGCAAACUUUUAUUCUUCUUUGGUAGCAAACUUUAUUAAUGGAAUGUACAACAAAAGUGGAAAUACAUAGACAAUAGUAAAGAAUGCAAUAAUUCAAGGAAGUCUGAAAAAAAUUAGCAAGGAUGCGUAAGGUCUGCUAAACAUUAAACGAAGGAGAUCUGUUGUAUACUGAAAUUUGUAGCCAGAAAAUCUUUAUGCGAUAUUUGGAAAUAUGGAUUUUGGGUCUUUAA
This is an RNA transcript of Malania oleifera, 2028 nucleotides long. It is a transcript of the gene named DNA-directed RNA polymerase I subunit rpa49, with no coding region annotated. Lineage: Eukaryota; Viridiplantae; Streptophyta; Magnoliopsida; Santalales; Ximeniaceae. The record is from RefSeq and is a predicted model, not a curated record. The transcript has 5 exons.